GGUAGCAAUAGCAAAGAUAUUCUCCUGUUCUCUAGGACCCCCUCUCGAUUAACUGUUUCUUUUUUUCUAGCAACAAAUGCUUUACAUCCCUGAGAGACCAUCUGUCAACUACAGCCAGGAUUUCUUGAGUGGCUGGUGUGUUGCUCCAUCCUGGAUUAUCUCUGAUCAUUCAACACUUUCGCAUACUCUGUGCUCUGAUAUUAUCAGGGUUACUCACACUAUUGCCUCUGAGGCACUUGGCACUUCUUUGAGAGGGUGACACAUAGGAAAUAUAACUCAUUGACUUGUUAAUUUGCUUUUAGUUUCUUGAGACAGGUUCUCUCUCCAUAACUCUGCACAUUCAGGAACUAACUAUGUUUAUCAGACUAGCCUUGAACUCACAAACAUCAGCCUGCCUCUACCUCUGCCAAUAUCUCUGCUUCUGCUUAUGACUCUGCCUCUGCCUCUCCAAUUGCCUUGGCCAUGACCCUGGCCGUGGCGCUGCCACAAGAGUGCUGAGACUAAAGGAAUGCUCGCACAAACUAAAUGGAAUCAAGUCUCUUUCUGUCUAUGUGGACUUCCAAGUUUGCCAGCAUGAUUGGAUGAAGAGGCCAUGUUGGUGCAAAGGGAGACUUCCCUGGGAAUCACACCUCAAGCCAGAUUCUCUGUUUGCUGCAGAGCAGAACUCUGUACUCCUGCAACUGGAUUACCAGAUGAGGACACCACCUGUUGAUGGUGGCAAGUCAUUAACUGCCCCCAUCCACAACCUUCAGAAUUCCUGUCAUUGCCACAAGAUCCAUGCCUGGAACAAACAGAGAAUGACAACCUGCAUGAGAUGGCAGCAAAUCUGUCAAUGCCUCUGGAUGCCUAUGAGUGCGCGAGAGAAAAACCAAGACCCAUCUCUCCUCCCUUCAGCACACCCCGACAUGCAGCAUCCCUUGCACUUCACUGAUGCUGGGAGCCUAGGGCAGAAGCUGGCUUCUGAUAACGCCUAAUUUGGAAGCACAUUAGUGGUCAGGAUGAGUCUGGAACAUGCACAGUAUGUUGGCCUCCAGCAUAGACUUGCAGACAUGACUACACUGAUGGAAGAAGUUCACCUUCCCAACUGCUCAACUCUGUCUCUGAUCUAAACUAAUUCCAGGUUCCCACAGUCACCCAAUGCAAAGGCUCCAGGUCUUCAGGAGCGAUCAGGCCCAGUAAAGAUAAGAUGUCAUCAGCACAUCCUUAAACCGGGUGUGGAAGAAUGAGGAGAAAUGCUCUAAUAUGUUUAAUGGAGCUUCUCUGGCUAGAAUCUAGUGUCAAGAUCUUGUGGAGGGAGAGAUGCUGGGGCCUGAGAAGGGGAUAUUGACAACAUGGCCCAGCAAAUGGAGGGCAAAGCUCAGAAAGCCAUACUCUGCAAGCCCAGCAGUCCUAGGGUUCAUGGGCAAGACCAGGCCAAGAGAACUAGAGAAAACACCUCCAAGAAAGCUGAAUGAACUGAAGCCAUCAAGUCACAGAGUCAAGACAGAACACAAUCCCACUAUUCUCAACACCAAGUGGAAGCAGGAUCUAUCUGAGCUCAGCCAUGGUAGCUUUAAAAGCCUUAAACCCACCUCAGCAUGUACAUGCUGGAGUCCAUGAAGGUCUGUUAUUCACUGUGAAAGAAGGAAGAGAAGAAAAAUGGUAUCUCCUGAGCCUUCAACACUUUGUACUAAUCUGUGCUCUAAUAGUAUCAGAGAUUGUCACACUUUAGCCUCUUAUGCAUUUGGCAUUUCUUUUUCCAGGGAUACAUAUUGUAAACAGAAUUCAUUUACUUAUUAACUCACUUUUAGAUUCUUGAGACAGGGACUCUCUCCACAGCCCAGCAUGUCCUGGAACUGGCUACAUUGAACAGGCAAUCACUGAACUCAAAAAGUCCUGCCUGCCUCCCCCUCUGUCUCCUCCUCCAUCUCAGCCUCUGCUUCCACCUCUGUCUGCUCCUCCGCUGCCUCAAGAGUGCUGGGACUAAAGGAUUGCUUCAAGAAGCCAAGUGCAAUCAAGGCUCUUCUGUGUAGGUGAAUAACAACAUUUCAGUACAUGACUUCAUGAGGUGGACUUGUGUACUCCAGGGUCCAUUUUUUUAUCAUACCUAAAAUCCAAAGAGAUGUGUUUACAGAUGGAACUUGACUUGGAUUCAUUUUUUCCCUACAAUCUGCCUUGUUUCAUUUGUAGGUUGUACUUAGUACAAUGCCUGGGAAGUUCUGACCUUAUAUGAUGUGUGCCUAUCCUAUCCUGGGUAUUUUGAACAUUUUGGUAAAGUUAUGAUUGCUUUUCUACUUCUAGGAAGUGGGGCAUUUGAAUUUUACUGAGGAAUUGUAUUCACGCUCUCCAUAGAGUUUUAUGGUGCACCUUUCUUCAUAAUAUCAAACCCCCAACUAUUGUGUAGGCCCCAAAUUGUUCAUUCUAAUAAGGGCUAUGUCCAGACUGACCCAUCUAGAAAAUGUUAACAAAUCCACCAUGAAAAGAUCCUACUAACUGUAUGCAAUGAUCCCCACAGGGACAAAUUCCGGUAGAAGAGAAUGAUGGAUAUCAAUGUCUUUGGGAGGCAUCAGGUUUUAUCACUCUCUGUAUGUGGUUUUCAUUAUAGAUUUGGGCACUGCCAUGAGACUACUGUGCUUCACUUUACAGCAUAAGAGCAAUAGAAAGACAUUUAAAUGUAUAUCUUCUAACCUUGAUAUUAUAAUUUUAAUCUUUAUGUUUUCAAACUAAGGGUCUCGUAGAAUAAUCCAUAUUAAACAAAGCUCAGGAAACAUUUUUCAUAAUAAAGCAAUUCACACAA
Long non-coding RNA from Peromyscus eremicus (cactus mouse), 2776 nucleotides. RefSeq lists it as uncharacterized. The transcript is spliced from 2 exons. The record is from RefSeq and is a predicted model, not a curated record. NCBI's taxonomy places the organism in Eukaryota, Metazoa, Chordata, Mammalia, Rodentia, Cricetidae.